Molecule: long non-coding RNA, 795 nt
Filed under: Fragaria vesca (wild strawberry)
Lineage: Eukaryota; Viridiplantae; Streptophyta; Magnoliopsida; Rosales; Rosaceae
Description: long non-coding RNA (FVES_LNC001552)
Source: RNAcentral
GAUGCCACAGUAAACCAAAUAUUAUUUAAGAGGAGCACUUAUAGACUUCUUUUGUCCAAAAGAAGUUGGUUAGAGUUAUAAGUUAUGUGGAAUACCUAUAUAUGAUUUUGGUUCUUGGAGCUAAUUAAAUAUGAACUAAUUAACUUAAUUAUAGAGAAUAUAUAUAUAUAUAUAUAUAUAUAUCCAGCCCCUUUCUAUUGAGGGAUCCCUAUUUUUGGCCACUUUCUAGGGAUAGGGCAUUACACCACUUCCCAAUUGAAUUUUUACAUCUCCACCGUUCAUAUCUUAGGUCUAUAUGAGUAGAUCACCUCUACAAAAUUUCAUAUGAUUUGGUGAUCGUUAAGACUUUCAAAAGUUUGAUUUAGUUUUAAUGAUUUUGAACGAUCCAGCUUAUGUCAAACUAAAACCGUUGAAGGUCAUUAAAACUAAAUUGAACUUUUGAAAGCCUUAACGAUCACCAAAUCAUAUGAAAUUUUGUAGAGGUGAUCUACUCAUAUAGACCUAAGAUAUGAACGGUGGAGAUGUAAAAUUAUAGUCGGGAAGUUAGUGUAAUGCCCUAUCCCUAUAAAUGGCUUAAAAUAGGGAUCCCUUAUUGGAAGGGCCCUGUUCAAGUUCCAACUUGUCAAUAAAAUAAAAUAAAACCAUUCAAGUUCCAAUCAUCGCCGGAAUUUUUGUACCGUUAUCAGUAAUGACUACAGGAAAUUUCAAAUAGAUAGGGAAAGGAAAAAAGUGACCUGGGUCUGCUAGCUUCUCCAAAAUUCAAAUCAUAGGAUUCACAAAAAUAAUUGGUUGUAG